AGAGGGUGCGAACGUUGCUCGGAUUUACUGGGCGUAAAGCGCGUGUAGGCGGGCACGCAAGUCGGUUGUGAAAUCCCUGGGCUCAACCUAGGAACUGCAUCCGAAACUGCGUGUCUUGAGUAAUGGAGAGGGUGGCGGAAUUCCCGGUGUAGAGGUGAAAUUCGUAGAUAUCGGGAGGAACAUCAGUGGCGAAGGCGGCCACCUGGACAUUUUACUGACGCUGAGACGCGAAAGCGUGGGGAGCAAACAGGAUUAGAUACCCUGGUAGUCCACGCCGUAAACGAUGAGAACUAGGUGCAGCGGAUAUUGACCUCUGCUGUGCCGUAGCUAACGCGUUAAGUUCUCCGCCUGGGGAGUACGGCCGCAAGGCUA
RNAcentral lists this ribosomal RNA (372 nucleotides) under uncultured bacterium. RNAcentral describes it as "bacterial SSU rRNA". It matches the Rfam family "Bacterial small subunit ribosomal RNA", at positions 527 to 896 of the family's 1533-position model. The record is from RNAcentral.